Molecule: ribosomal RNA, 497 nt
Filed under: uncultured bacterium
Lineage: Bacteria
Description: partial 16S ribosomal RNA
Rfam family: Bacterial small subunit ribosomal RNA
Source: RNAcentral
GAUGAACGCUGGCGGCGUGCCUAAUACAUGCAAGUCGAGCGAACGGACGCGAAGCUUGCUUCUCUGAUGUUAGCGGCGGACGGGUGAGUAACACGUGGAUACCCUACCUAUAAGACUGGGAUAACUUCGGGAAACCGGCGCUAAUACCGGAUAAUAUCUUGAACCGCAUGGUUCAAUAGUGAAAGACGGUCUUGCUGUCACUUAUAGAUGGAUCCGCGCUGCAUUAGCUAGUUGGUAAGGUAACGGCUUACCAAGGCAACUAUGCAUAGCCGACCUGAGAGGGGGAUCGGCCACACUGGAACUGAGACACGGACCAGAGUACUACGGGAGGCAGCAGUAGGGAAUCUUCGGCAAUGGGCGGAAGCCUGACGGAGCAAGCGCGCGUGAGUGAUGAAGGUCUUCGGAGCGUAAAACCCUGUUAUUAGGGAAGAACAUAUGUGGAAGUAACUGUGCACAGCUUGACGGUACCGAAUCAGAAAGCCACGGCUAACUACGUG